This 253-nucleotide ribosomal RNA is filed under the name uncultured bacterium. RNAcentral's name for it is "partial 16S ribosomal RNA". It matches the Rfam family "Bacterial small subunit ribosomal RNA", at positions 524 to 776 of the family's 1533-position model. The record is from RNAcentral.
UACGAAGGGUGCAAGCGUUACUCGGAAUUACUGGGCGUAAAGCGUGCGUAGGUGGUUUGUUAAGUCUGCUGUGAAAGCCCCGGGCUCAACCUGGGAAUGGCAGUGGAUACUGGCAAGCUAGAGUGCGGUAGAGGGGUGUGGAAUUCCCGGUGUAGCGGUGAAAUGCGUAGAGAUCGGGAGGAACACCAGUGGCGAAGGCGGCUCUCUGGACCAGAACUGACGCUGAGGCACGAAAGCGUGGGGAGCAAACAGG